CCGAGUUUACAAACUCCCAACCCUAUGUGAACCUUACCAAUCGUUGCUUCGGCGGGCUUAGCCCCCGCGCCCUCGCCGGCGCCGGGAGAAAGGCGCCCGCCGGGGACCCCAAACCCAAUGUUUUUCAUGCAGUAUUUCUGAGUGGCAAACGCAAAAAAUAAAUCA
This 165-nucleotide unclassified non-coding RNA is filed under the name uncultured Myrothecium. RNAcentral's name for it is "sequence contains ITS1". The record is from RNAcentral. Lineage: Eukaryota; Fungi; Ascomycota; Sordariomycetes; Hypocreales.